Long non-coding RNA from Cyprinus carpio (common carp), 208 nucleotides. RefSeq lists it as uncharacterized. Lineage: Eukaryota; Metazoa; Chordata; Actinopteri; Cypriniformes; Cyprinidae. The record is from RefSeq and is a predicted model, not a curated record. The transcript has 3 exons.
CCCCAAGGUGGAGUUUUCCAGCCCACCCCAGCCAAUGCUCCCAAACAUGGAUCCCAGACUACAGGGGCCGAUGCAGAGGAUGAAUGUUCCUAGAGGAAUGGGUCCCAUGGGCCCCGGCCCCCAGAGUUUCGGAGGAGGGAUGAGACCGCCACACACCUCAAUGGGCCCUGGCAUGCCAGGAGUGAAACAUGGGGCCUGGAAAUGGCAG